GAAAUGCGAUAAGUAAUGUGAAUUGCAGAAUUCAGUGAAUCAUCGAAUCUUUGAACGCACCUUGCGCCCCUUGGCAUUCCGAGGGGCAUGCCUGUUUGAGUAUCAUGAACACCUCAACUCUCUACGGUUUGCCGUGGAGAGCUUGGACUUUGGAGGUUUGCUGGCCCUCGGUCGGCUCCUCUCAAACGAAUCAGCUUCCCAGUGUUUGGUGGCGUCACGGGUGUGAUAACUAUCUACGCUCGCGAUCCGUCCGCCUCGCAACCUUCAGCGAUGGAGGUUCGCUGGAGCUCAAAAACGUCUCUCCUCAGCGAAGACAGCUUUUCUGACGUUCGAUCUCAAAUCAGGUAGGACUACCCGCUGAACUUAA
RNAcentral lists this unclassified non-coding RNA (367 nucleotides) under uncultured Thelephoraceae. Its description in RNAcentral is "sequence contains ITS1". The stretch from base 1 to 105 matches the Rfam family "5.8S ribosomal RNA", at positions 50 to 154 of the family's 154-position model. Lineage: Eukaryota; Fungi; Basidiomycota; Agaricomycetes; Thelephorales; Thelephoraceae. The record is from RNAcentral.